Molecule: ribosomal RNA, 500 nt
Filed under: uncultured bacterium
Lineage: Bacteria
Description: partial 16S ribosomal RNA
Rfam family: Bacterial small subunit ribosomal RNA
Source: RNAcentral
AUUGAACGCUGGCGGCAUGCCUUACACAUGCAAGUCGAACGGCAGCACGGGAGCAAUCCUGGUGGCGAGUGGCGAACGGGUGAGUAAAGUAUCGGAACGUGCCCAGUCGUGGGGGAUAACGUAGCGAAAGGUACGCUAAUACCGCAUACGAUCUAUGGAUGAAAGCGGGGGAUCGCAAGACCUCGCGCGAUUGGAGCGGCCGAUAUCCGAUUAGGUAAUUGGUGGGGUAAAGGCUCACCAAGCCGACGAUCUGUAGCUGGUCUGAGAGGACGACCAGCCACACUGGGACUGAGACACGGCCCAGACUUCUACGGGAGGCAGCAGUGGGGAAUUUUGGACAAUGGGCGAAAGCCUGAUCCAGCCAUGCCGCGUGCAGGAUGAAGGCCUUCGGGUUGUAAACUGCUUUUGUACGGAACGAAAAGGUUUGGCCUAAUAAGCUGAGCUCAUGACGGUACCGUAAGAAUAAGCACCGGCUAACUACGUGCCAGCCGCCGCGGUAA